Lacerta agilis (Sand lizard) is the source of this 812-nucleotide long non-coding RNA. RefSeq lists it as uncharacterized. The record is from RefSeq and is a predicted model, not a curated record. NCBI's taxonomy places the organism in Eukaryota, Metazoa, Chordata, Lepidosauria, Squamata, Lacertidae. The transcript is spliced from 2 exons.
GGGGGGGGGCUCAAGCAGAAUCGGGAGGCUCUGGAAGCUGGGCCUUGAAGUGCAAUGCAGGCUAUAUUUCACCACCACAACUGCAUCCAGGUUUCUGACAGCAUCAACCAGCAUUUCAGCAUCUGUGGGGGGAUCCCAGCAUUUCAGCAGAGGCAGCAACAACAAAAUUGAUUUAGGCCCGAGGUAUCCAAUUUGUUCAGCAUGGAACAGCACACUGAAAUUACUUUCUUCUGCUCAGCAGAGCUAGCAGAUAGCAAGGCAAGUACCUCAAGAUCUGAGGAAAUAGUUAGAGCUUCAGUCAAGCUUGUAGUAGCAUUUUAAAGUACUGGGCAAAUAACAAAAACUCAUGUAUUUUUAAUUCAGCACAUGGAUUUCCACCCUCAGAGAUGAAUAUGCAACCAAAAAAAUUAUAUGUUCUUGUGUGGGCAUGAAUUAUAAUACCAGGUAGAAAUAGGUCAUUAAAAAUGAAGCACAAACAUGCCACGUUCGUUUUAAAAUGAUGAAUUGUUUCAUCAGUGGCUGCUGCACAGAUGUAACCAAAUUUGUCCAGCAAAAUCUUUGUUGCUGCUGAUUACGUGUGACCCAGAUAGAACUUGAUUUCUUAUUCUGCCAACAAACCGAGUUUGUGGUUAGGUGGCGGCGGGAGGAACGACUCUAUUUAAACUGAAGAAAUUGUAUGUGAAAUUAUUUCACCUGAAAUGCAAACAUAAAAUCCCACGAGUUAGUUUCUUCAAUUACUUUUCUGAUCAAAGCAGCACUGAAAGUCUAAUUUUCAUGUGAAAAUAUGCAAUAAAAGCAGGUUCUUUGCAGUG